Molecule: ribosomal RNA, 253 nt
Filed under: uncultured bacterium
Lineage: Bacteria
Description: partial 16S ribosomal RNA
Rfam family: Bacterial small subunit ribosomal RNA
Source: RNAcentral
UACGAAGGGUGCUAGCGUUGUUCGGAAUCACUGGGCGUAAAGGGUGCGUAGGCGGGUCUUUAAGUCAGGGGUGAAAUCCUGGAGCUCAACUCCAGAACUGCCUUUGAUACUGAGGAUCUUGAGUUCGGAAGAGGUGAGUGGAACUGCGAGUGUAGAGGUGAAAUUCGUAGAUAUUCGCAAGAACACCAGUGGCGAAGGCGGCUCACUGGCACGAUACUGACGCUGAGGCACGAAAGCGUGGGGAGCAAACAGG